RNAcentral lists this long non-coding RNA (936 nucleotides) under Lathyrus oleraceus (garden pea). Its description in RNAcentral is "Pisum sativum (pea) long non-coding RNA (PSAT_LNC013230)". Lineage: Eukaryota; Viridiplantae; Streptophyta; Magnoliopsida; Fabales; Fabaceae. The record is from RNAcentral.
CAAAACACAUAGUUCCUAAAGUAAAAUUUCCAUCAAUCUACUGCAUUGAACGUGAAAGAGAGUCAAAACACUCAUACCAUCAUAUUAAAGAUUAAAACAAAUGUGAAGCUAAUACCGGAUCAACUUUAGUUAUGCACAGUGAUACUAUAGCACAUCUUGUUCUUUAUUUUUAACACAUCUUGGCCUCUUUCUAAAAAAAUUAACAGAGAACAAAUUAUAUUCUAAAAUGUAUUCUUCAAAAGAAAACACAUCACCAACAAAAAAAUAAUUUCUUCUAAUUAAAAUACAAUAGUUCAAAAUAAUGAAAGAGAAGAUGAUUUACCAAUUGAUCAGAUCAAAGUUCUUGCGAGAAUAGAAACGAGGAAAGGAGAGUGACGACUUUAUACAAACGUGGCGGCGACGGGUUAAGCGAAUAGAGGGUGCACGACGCGACGUUUAGAUUCGCAGCGGCGUCGGCGUUGAUGGCGGAGAAUGACGCGGCAGAGGGUUUGGAAGAGUGUGAUACAUUUUCACGCGGUGGUCGGAGAUUGGCUUUUGGAUGGGGUGUCGUCGGAGUGCGUCGCGGACGGAGGGAUUGCUUUGUGAGGAGGUUUAUGUGUUUGAAGAACAACAUUGGGGUUGGAUGAAGUUCGCCGGUAAUGGAGGUUUUGUUUUGGAGUUUGUGAAGAUGAGAGGUUCGUAACGGCGGUGACGGAGGUUGUUGUUGGACGAAAAACACGGCUGAAGGAAGAAGGCGGUGAGCGUCGUUGGAAGUGAGGUCGGAGUGGUUGAUGCGGUGGUGGAGAACCGACAGCGGCGCGGUCGGCUAUGGUGGUUUAUGAGGAAGGAGAAGUCCUUUUCUUUUCCCUUUUUCCUUUUCACAGAGAGAGCGAGUGGUAGGUGCUAGAGAGAGAACCGUUUCCUUUUAUUUAUUUAUUUUUUUACCGUUGGAAGAAA